GGGUUGUGAGGUUAAGCGACUAAGCGUACACGGUGGAUGCCCUGGCAGUCAGAGGCGAUGAAGGACGUGCUAAUCUGCGAUAAGCGUCGGUAAGGUGAUAUGAACCGUUAUAACCGGCGAUUUCCGAAUGGGGAAACCCAGUGUGUUUCGACACACUAUCAUUAACUGAAUCCAUAGGUUAAUGAGGCGAACCGGGGGAACUGAAACAUCUAAGUACCCCGAGGAAAAGAAAUCAACCGAGAUUCCCCCAGUAGCGGCGAGCGAACGGGGAGCAGCCCAGAGCCUGAAUCAGUGUGUGUGUUAGUGGAAGCGUCUGGAAAGGCGCGCGAUACAGGGUGACAGCCCCGUACACAAAAAUGCACAUGCUGUGAGCUCGAUGAGUAGGGCGGGACACGUGGUAUCCUGUCUGAAUAUGGGGGGACCAUCCUCCAAGGCUAAAUACUCCUGACUGACCGAUAGUGAACCAGUACCGUGAGGGAAAGGCGAAAAGAACCCCGGCGAGGGGAGUGAAAAAGAACCUGAAACCGUGUACGUACAAGCAGUGGGAGCACAGAGCAAUCUGUGUGACUGCGUACCUUUUGUAUAAUGGGUCAGCGACUUAUAUUCUGUAGCAAGGUUAACCGAAUAGGGGAGCCGAAGGGAAACCGAGUCUUAACUGGGCGUUAAGUUGCAGGGUAUAGACCCGAAACCCGGUGAUCUAGCCAUGGGCAGGUUGAAGGUUGGGUAACACUAACUGGAGGACCGAACCGACUAAUGUUGAAAAAUUAGCGGAUGACUUGUGGCUGGGGGUGAAAGGCCAAUCAAACCGGGAGAUAGCUGGUUCUCCCCGAAAGCUAUUUAGGUAGCGCCUCGUGAAUUCAUCUCCGGGGGUAGAGCACUGUUUCGGCAAGGGGGUCAUCCCGACUUACCAACCCGAUGCAAACUGCGAAUACCGGAGAAUGUUAUCACGGGAGACACACGGCGGGUGCUAACGUCCGUCGUGAAGAGGGAAACAACCCAGACCGCCAGCUAAGGUCCCAAAGUCAUGGUUAAGUGGGAAACGAUGUGGGAAGGCCCAGACAGCCAGGAUGUUGGCUUAGAAGCAGCCAUCAUUUAAAGAAAGCGUAAUAGCUCACUGGUCGAGUCGGCCUGCGCGGAAGAUGUAACGGGGCUAAACCAUGCACCGAAGCUGCGGCAGCGACGCUUAUGCGUUGUUGGGUAGGGGAGCGUUCUGUAAGCCUGUGAAGGUGUACUGUGAGGUAUGCUGGAGGUAUCAGAAGUGCGAAUGCUGACAUAAGUAACGAUAAAGCGGGUGAAAAGCCCGCUCGCCGGAAGACCAAGGGUUCCUGUCCAACGUUAAUCGGGGCAGGGUGAGUCGACCCCUAAGGCGAGGCCGAAAGGCGUAGUCGAUGGGAAACAGGUUAAUAUUCCUGUACUUGGUGUUACUGCGAAGGGGGGACGGAGAAGGCUAUGUUGGCCGGGCGACGGUUGUCCCGGUUUAAGCGUGUAGGCUGGUUUUCCAGGCAAAUCCGGAAAAUCAAGGCUGAGGCGUGAUGACGAGGCACUACGGUGCUGAAGCAACAAAUGCCCUGCUUCCAGGAAAAGCCUCUAAGCAUCAGGUAACAUCAAAUCGUACCCCAAACCGACACAGGUGGUCAGGUAGAGAAUACCAAGGCGCUUGAGAGAACUCGGGUGAAGGAACUAGGCAAAAUGGUGCCGUAACUUCGGGAGAAGGCACGCUGAUAUGUAGGUGAAGCGACUUGCUCGUGGAGCUGAAAUCAGUCGAAGAUACCAGCUGGCUGCAACUGUUUAUUAAAAACACAGCACUGUGCAAACACGAAAGUGGACGUAUACGGUGUGACGCCUGCCCGGUGCCGGAAGGUUAAUUGAUGGGGUCAGCGCAAGCGAAGCUCUUGAUCGAAGCCCCGGUAAACGGCGGCCGUAACUAUAACGGUCCUAAGGUAGCGAAAUUCCUUGUCGGGUAAGUUCCGACCUGCACGAAUGGCGUAAUGAUGGCCAGGCUGUCUCCACCCGAGACUCAGUGAAAUUGAACUCGCUGUGAAGAUGCAGUGUACCCGCGGCAAGACGGAAAGACCCCGUGAACCUUUACUAUAGCUUGACACUGAACAUUGAGCCUUGAUGUGUAGGAUAGGUGGGAGGCUUUGAAGUGUGGACGCCAGUCUGCAUGGAGCCGACCUUGAAAUACCACCCUUUAAUGUUUGAUGUUCUAACGUUGACCCGUAAUCCGGGUUGCGGACAGUGUCUGGUGGGUAGUUUGACUGGGGCGGUCUCCUCCUAAAGAGUAACGGAGGAGCACGAAGGUUGGCUAAUCCUGGUCGGACAUCAGGAGGUUAGUGCAAUGGCAUAAGCCAGCUUGACUGCGAGCGUGACGGCGCGAGCAGGUGCGAAAGCAGGUCAUAGUGAUCCGGUGGUUCUGAAUGGAAGGGCCAUCGCUCAACGGAUAAAAGGUACUCCGGGGAUAACAGGCUGAUACCGCCCAAGAGUUCAUAUCGACGGCGGUGUUUGGCACCUCGAUGUCGGCUCAUCACAUCCUGGGGCUGAAGUAGGUCCCAAGGGUAUGGCUGUUCGCCAUUUAAAGUGGUACGCGAGCUGGGUUUAGAACGUCGUGAGACAGUUCGGUCCCUAUCUGCCGUGGGCGCUGGAGAACUGAGGGGGGCUGCUCCUAGUACGAGAGGACCGGAGUGGACGCAUCACUGGUGUUCGGGUUGUCAUGCCAAUGGCACUGCCCGGUAGCUAAAUGCGGAAGAGAUAAGUGCUGAAAGCAUCUAAGCACGAAACUUGCCCCGAGAUGAGUUCUCCCUGACUCCUUGAGAGUCCUGAAGGAACGUUGAAGACGACGACGUUGAUAGGCCGGGUGUGUAAGCGCAGCGAUGCGUUGAGCUAACCGGUACUAAUGAACCGUGAGGCUUAACCUUACAACGCCGAAGGUGUUU
This 2933-nucleotide ribosomal RNA is filed under the name Escherichia coli. RNAcentral's name for it is "23S ribosomal RNA". It matches the Rfam family "Bacterial large subunit ribosomal RNA". Lineage: Bacteria; Pseudomonadati; Pseudomonadota; Gammaproteobacteria; Enterobacterales; Enterobacteriaceae. The record is from RNAcentral.